Molecule: unclassified non-coding RNA, 26 nt
Filed under: Mus musculus (house mouse)
Lineage: Eukaryota; Metazoa; Chordata; Mammalia; Rodentia; Muridae
Description: oocyte_clustered_small_RNA3214
Source: RNAcentral
CGCCUGUUUUGCUGACCAGUCAGCCA